This is a long non-coding RNA of Neomonachus schauinslandi (Hawaiian monk seal), 956 nucleotides long. RefSeq lists it as uncharacterized. The record is from RefSeq and is a predicted model, not a curated record. The transcript is spliced from 5 exons. NCBI's taxonomy places the organism in Eukaryota, Metazoa, Chordata, Mammalia, Carnivora, Phocidae.
GCCGUGGAAGCCCCCUCUCAAUAUUUGUGGUUUAUGUCGCUUCUGAGAGUCAGGAAUCUAGGACUGGCUUAUUUGGGGGCUUCUGGCUCAGGAUCUCCCGUGAGGUUGCAAUCAAGAUGUUGGCCAGGACUGCAAUCAUCUGAAGGAGAAGUGAAUCCUAACACAGGGAGACUUCAGCGAAUGAGAAGAGAAGGCACCAAAAGCAAAGGUCCAGAGGACACACCCUAAUCCCUACUGAGGACCUUCCAGGAAUCUAUGAAUUCAGUGGUCCUGCCACAUCAGGGACCCGAUCUCCCAGGAGAAGAAAGGGGCUCCAAGUGGUAUUAUCUGCUAUCAUAACCCAGAGGAAUUAGCUGCUCUUCCCAAAGACACUUGAUGGCAUAAACCAGAACUCCCAGUUUCUAGUCCAGAUUCCGUUCUUGGGACAGCAAGAAAGAAGAUGGGGAGAGUUGGAGGAGAGAGAUUUCCUCAGCACGGACAGCCUCUGGGACUCCGCUGACAUGACCAGAGGCUGACCAUCACUCUCUUUGGGAACACUUGGUCCUUCACCUUGACUGCCACCAUGCAGCCAGGCUGAACAUCCAGGAACACAGAGUUCCUGGCUCCUCCCACAACUUCCAGAAUUGGAUGAAAUGCCUUACGGAUUCUCACUAUAGGAAAGGCCACAGGACAAAACCGGAACUGUUGGGGAGUCAACUUUCUGUCGACUGAGUCUCUGCUAAUGGAAAACAAGAGAUGGGAGGGAGAUUGCAGAUAAAUUCCCCUUCUUCCUCCCUCCCGUGGCCCACUCCAAAGUGCCAUUUCUCUCCGCAGCCUGCUUGGAGUGGAACCAUAUGCCAACCAGACAUGCUUGCUGAGUAACCUGCUGUGAUCUUGGAGGCUUCUCGUGAAGUGUCAGCCAGGAUGACAAUGUACCAUUUCACACUUCCUCACGCCUUUCUUGCUUCACUUCCCCU